This 28-nucleotide small RNA is filed under the name Bombyx mori (domestic silkworm). Its description in RNAcentral is "ovarian small RNA-35109". Lineage: Eukaryota; Metazoa; Arthropoda; Insecta; Lepidoptera; Bombycidae. The record is from RNAcentral.
UGGUAUAAAUAGUUAUAACAAAAAAUAU